GAACGCACAUUGCACUCCUUUGGAGUAUUCCUGUUUGAGACUCUAUAGUAUUUAUUUUUUGCUUUCUAGCAAUAGGGGGCCAAAAGAUUUGAGGUGUCUCCUCUACCUAGUAGAGAGAGUACCUUUAAUAGUAUAGCCUCUUUUGUGGUAAAUUACUCUGCAGAACAGUAUUUGAAUGGAACUUUGUUUCUUUAAUGCCCAAUAUGCAGAUUGCCUAUAAAAAGGGGGUCCAUAACUUGAAAGUAACCCAGUUACUUGAACCAUGGUCUCAAAUCAGGUAGGAAUACCCGCUGAACUUAAG
Molecule: unclassified non-coding RNA, 301 nt
Filed under: uncultured fungus
Lineage: Eukaryota; Fungi
Description: sequence contains 5.8S rRNA gene
Source: RNAcentral